AUUGAACGCUAACGGCGUGCUUAACACAUGCAAGUCGAGCGGCAGCAUGACUGUAGCAAUACAGUUGAUGGCGAGCGGCGGACGGGUGAGUAAUGCAUAGGAAUCUGCCUUGUAGUGGGGGAUAACCCGGGGAAACUCGGGCUAAUACCGCAUAAUCUCUACGGAGCAAAGUGGGGGAUCGUAAGACCUCACGCUAAAAGAUGAGCCUAUGUUGGAUUAGCUAGUUGGUGAGGUAAUGGCUCACCAAGGCGACGAUCCAUAGCUGGUCUGAGAGGAUGAUCAGCCACACUGGGACUGAGACACGGCCCAGACUCCUACGGGAGGCAGCAGUGGGGAAUAUUGGACAAUGGGCGAAAGCCUGAUCCAGCAACGCCGUGUGUGUGAAGAAGGCCUUCGGGUUGUAAAGCACUUUUAGUUGGGAAGAAAAGCUCAUGGGUAAUAUCCAUGAGUGCUGACGUUACCAACAGAAAAAGCACUGGCUAACUCUGUGCCAGCCGCCGCGGUAA
This 506-nucleotide ribosomal RNA is filed under the name uncultured bacterium. Its description in RNAcentral is "partial 16S ribosomal RNA". It matches the Rfam family "Bacterial small subunit ribosomal RNA", at positions 30 to 523 of the family's 1533-position model. The record is from RNAcentral.